This 633-nucleotide ribosomal RNA is filed under the name Escherichia coli. Its description in RNAcentral is "bacterial LSU rRNA". It matches the Rfam family "Bacterial large subunit ribosomal RNA", at positions 1272 to 1890 of the family's 2925-position model. Lineage: Bacteria; Pseudomonadati; Pseudomonadota; Gammaproteobacteria; Enterobacterales; Enterobacteriaceae. The record is from RNAcentral.
UCUGGCGGUAUCAGAAGUGCGAAUGCUGACAUAAGUAACGAUAAAGCGGGUGAAAAGCCCGCUCGCCGGAAGACCAAGGGUUCCUGUCCAACGUUAAUCGGGGCAGGGUGAGUCGACCCCUAAGGCGAGGCCGAAAGGCGUAGUCGAUGGGAAACAGGUUAAUAUUCCUGUACUUGGUGUUACUGCGAAGGGGGGACGGAGAAGGCUAUGUUGGCCGGGCGACGGUUGUCCCGGUUUAAGCGUGUAGGCUGGUUUUCCAGGCAAAUCCGGAAAAUCAAGGCUGAGGCGUGAUGACGAGGCACUACGGUGCUGAAGCAACAAAUGCCCUGCUUCCAGGAAAAGCCUCUAAGCAUCAGGUAACAUCAAAUCGUACCCCAAACCGACACAGGUGGUCAGGUAGAGAAUACCAAGGCGCUUGAGAGAACUCGGGUGAAGGAACUAGGCAAAAUGGUGCCGUAACUUCGGGAGAAGGCACGCUGAUAUGUAGGUGAAGUCCCUCGCGGAUGGAGCUGAAAUCAGUCGAAGAUACCAGCUGGCUGCAACUGUUUAUUAAAAACACAGCACUGUGCAAACACGAAAGUGGACGUAUACGGUGUGACGCCUGCCCGGUGCCGGAAGGUUAAUUGAUGGGGU